GAUCAUGGCUCAGGACGAACGCUGGCGGCGUGCCUAACACAUGCAAGUCGAGCGAUGAAGUUCCUUCGGGAACGGAUUAGCGGCGGACGGGUGAGUAACACGUGGGCAACCUGCCUUAUAGAGGGGAAUAGCCUUCCGAAAGGAAGAUUAAUACCGCAUAAGAUUGUAGCUUCGCAUGAAGUAGCAAUUAAAGGNGCAAUCCACUAUAAGAUGGGGCCCGCGGGCGCAUUAGCUAGUUGGUGAGGUAACGG
This 251-nucleotide ribosomal RNA is filed under the name uncultured bacterium. RNAcentral describes it as "partial 16S ribosomal RNA". It matches the Rfam family "Bacterial small subunit ribosomal RNA", at positions 15 to 263 of the family's 1533-position model. The record is from RNAcentral.